RNAcentral lists this ribosomal RNA (374 nucleotides) under Pantoea sp. BLB8. Its description in RNAcentral is "bacterial SSU rRNA". It matches the Rfam family "Bacterial small subunit ribosomal RNA", at positions 772 to 1149 of the family's 1533-position model. Lineage: Bacteria; Pseudomonadati; Pseudomonadota; Gammaproteobacteria; Enterobacterales; Erwiniaceae. The record is from RNAcentral.
ACAGGAUUUGUACCCUGGUAGUCCACGCCGUAAACGAUGUCGACUUGGAGGUUGUUCCCUUGAGGAGUGGCUUCCGGAGCUAACGCGUUAAGUCGACCGCCUGGGGAGUACGGCCGCAAGGUUAAAACUCAAAUGAAUUGACGGGGGCCCGCACAAGCGGUGGAGCAUGUGGUUUAAUUCGAUGCAACGCGAAGAACCUUACCUACUCUUGACAUCCAGAGAACUUAGCAGAGAUGCUUUGGUGCCUUCGGGAACUCUGAGACAGGUGCUGCAUGGCUGUCGUCAGCUCGUGUUGUGAAAUGUUGGGUUAAGUCCCGCAACGAGCGCAACCCUUAUCCUUUGUUGCCAGCGAUUCGGUCGGAACUCAAAGAGAC